ACCUGGGUGGCUCAGUCGGUAGAGCAUGUGACUUUGGAUCUCAGGUUGUGAGUUUGAGUCCCAUGUUGGGUG
This 72-nucleotide transfer RNA is filed under the name Canis lupus familiaris (dog). It matches the Rfam family "tRNA". Rfam says of the family: Transfer RNA (tRNA) molecules are approximately 80 nucleotides in length. The record is from Rfam by way of RNAcentral. RNAcentral also lists the same sequence under 1 other name. Lineage: Eukaryota; Metazoa; Chordata; Mammalia; Carnivora; Canidae.